This 21-nucleotide non-coding RNA is filed under the name Xenopus tropicalis (tropical clawed frog). RNAcentral also lists the same sequence under 1 other name. The record is from RNAcentral. Lineage: Eukaryota; Metazoa; Chordata; Amphibia; Anura; Pipidae.
CGGGUGGAUCACGAUGCAAUU